UGGAGAGUUUGAUCCUGGCUCAGAUUGAACGCUGGCGGCAUGCCUAACACAUGCAAGUCGCACGCGAAAGGGGGCAACCCCAAGUAGAGUGGCGGACGGGUGCGUAACGCGUAGGAAUCUACCUCGUAGUGGGGGACAACCCGGCGAAAGCCAGGCUAAUACCGCAUACGAUCUAAGGAUGAAAGCAGGGGACCGUAAGGCCUUGCGCUAUGAGAUGAGCCUGCGUCGGAUUAGCUAGUUGGUGAGGUAAUGGCUCACCAAGGCAACGAUCCGUAGCUGGUCUGAGAGGACGACCAGCCACACUGGGACUGAGACACGGCCCAGACUCCUACGGGAGGCAGCAGUGGGGAAUAUUGGACAAUGGGGGCAACCCUGAUCCAGCAAUGCCGCGUGUGUGA
This 398-nucleotide ribosomal RNA is filed under the name Acidithiobacillales bacterium SM23_46. RNAcentral's name for it is "bacterial SSU rRNA". It matches the Rfam family "Bacterial small subunit ribosomal RNA", at positions 1 to 408 of the family's 1533-position model. The record is from RNAcentral. Lineage: Bacteria; Pseudomonadati; Pseudomonadota; Acidithiobacillia; Acidithiobacillales.